Molecule: transfer RNA, 77 nt
Filed under: Trichonephila clavata
Lineage: Eukaryota; Metazoa; Arthropoda; Arachnida; Araneae; Nephilidae
Description: tRNA-Arg
Rfam family: tRNA
About the family: Transfer RNA (tRNA) molecules are approximately 80 nucleotides in length. Their secondary structure includes four short double-helical elements and three loops (D, anti-codon, and T loops). Further hydrogen bonds mediate the characteristic L-shaped molecular structure. tRNAs have two regions of fundamental functional importance: the anti-codon, which is responsible for specific mRNA codon recognition, and the 3' end, to which the tRNAs corresponding amino acid is attached (by aminoacyl-tRNA synthetases). tRNAs cope with the degeneracy of the genetic code in two manners: having more than one tRNA (with a specific anti-codon) for a particular amino acid; and 'wobble' base-pairing, i.e. permitting non-standard base-pairing at the 3rd anti-codon position.
Source: RNAcentral
GUCCCAGUAGCGCAAUAAAUAGCGCGUUGGACUUCUAAUCCAAAGGGUCGUGGAUUCGAAUUCCACGUGCUAUGGCA